GGACCUUUUGAAUCAUGAUCAUCUGUUUUACCACUACACUACUUCACAUCCGCUAGGGAGGUGCGAAUCAAAGCAGAACACUUUCUACCACCUGUCAUCUAUAUUUAAUUUCAUGGCCAAUGCACUCAUUAUCAAAUCAACAGUUUUUCACUUUGGACCGUACUGCUUUUAACAGUGGUGCAAAUUGAAGUGAUUUUUAGUUGAUUUCCCCGGUGGGUUUGUUUUGGUUCUCAAAUCAACACUGACAGAUUUGCGAAUUUAAGGGAAAAGCAUUUCCGAUCAUGUUGAUUGGGAUGUUGAGUAGUUGAGGGAUUUUUCCCUUGAAUCGAGCGUGCAGAAUUUUUACCGUGUACAGAAGUUGAACAUGUGUCAAGUUUGUGGGAAGACGGAGUGUCGAAUUACCCUUUGCCGUCAUCAGUAACUUGGAAGAAUAUCGUCAGUUUUUCUUGGUGGUCAAUUACGCGUCGUGAUAUACGCAAAACAAAACAACGAACUUAUUUCUUUGACCUGGAAUGAUUCAAGACGAUCAAACCGUUUCCGGAGAUUUGACAAUAUAAUACAGUGCAGUGUUGUCUGAAUUUUGAAAGAAAGCAGCAUUCAAACAUAAUGCGCUCUCGGUUUGCAUUUUUCUUUUUUUGGCGGUGUCUUUGUUUUGCUGAAGUCGAUGAAAAUACAGCCUCUGUCGAAUACAACUUCUGCAACUUAACAUCAAUUGAGAUCAACGAUUUACCGAGCCCUGUAUCCGAGAUUACAUAUCUUUCACUGCGAGGAAACAACCUCGACGGGUUUCCCAGCGAUAUUUCGAAACUGUCGAGCCUGGAAAGGUUGAUUCUGUCCGAGAAUCCCCAAAUAACAUUUCCUGCCGAUGGAACUCCAUUCCUGAUAUCUAGCAGCUUAAUCGACUUGGACUGCGAAUGCUGUGAUAUAAAAGCAAUUUUGAAUCGCUCAUUGCGCAGAUUGCCUCUACUGGAGACCCUCCGAUUGUCAAACAAUAGCAUUCAGAUGAUCGAGAAACGUGCCUUCCGGAACAAUCCUAACAUCUGUGUGCUGGACUUCAGACACAACAAUCUAACGACUCUACCGAUCACAAUACUGGUUGGUCUGCAAAAAAUAAAGAAGCUUGAUCUGAGUGGCAACCGAGACCUUGCACCGCAGAAAGACCAACCGUUUCUGGUGAGCAGCUCGCUGAAGAUUCUGAAAUGCAACAACUGUGGAUUCAGCACUACGCAGGUAGUGACAUUCUCUAAACUUCCCAAUCUCAAGGAAUUGCACCUCGCAGAGAAUAGACUACUGGUGGCACCAUGCUUGCUCCCAUCUUUGACAGCGUUGGGGGUUCAUUCGAUGAAAGUAAUCACUGUUUACCAUCGGUGUUUGAAAAGGAACUUUCCAUUUGUUAAACUUCAAAAUUAGUACAACAUUAGGCCAACAGCAAAGCUAAAGAUGCAAGUACACAGGGUCAAAUAUUUGACCAAAAGAAACCAAUGCUCAAACAUCUUGUUUGUCUCGAUCGAAUUUUCAUUAGUGUAAAAGAGAUGUUUUUCUUGAGUUCAUCCCUUGUCCACACAGAUCGAAAAAAUAGAGUUUUAGAAUUUAUUUUAACUUCGCUGUUUGUCUAAACACGUACUAAAAUUAAAAAAUAAUGCGCAUUACGUUAACCCAUGGAAAGCAUACUUAUAAAGAAAAAUAUUGUCUAUCCGGUUGGAAUCAAGACCGGCAUUCAAUCGAAAAUUGCCAUUUUCUUGGCCCAACAGUGUCGCAACUGUUUCGCAUCUAGUGCGCUGUGUUGCUGACAACAACGGGAAGGAUGCGCACUACUUUUGACAUUAAAUAUUAAAAAACGUCGCGAGUUGGGUCGCGUCGCGACUUGAUUGUGCGAAGUCCGGUUUGGUGGCGGCCCGACAAUAAAUAAAAGCGCGCGAUUGCAUCGAAUCGAGUUGGGUCUUCAGUGCCCUAUUUCUUUAAUCUAUGCAG
This is a long non-coding RNA of Aedes albopictus (Asian tiger mosquito), 1971 nucleotides long. RefSeq lists it as uncharacterized. The record is from RefSeq and is a predicted model, not a curated record. The transcript has 3 exons. Lineage: Eukaryota; Metazoa; Arthropoda; Insecta; Diptera; Culicidae.